GACGAACGCUGGCGGCGUGCUUAACACAUGCAAGUCGAACGGUGAAGCGCCUUCCUUUUGGUGGGUGUGGAUGAGUGGCGAACGGGUGAGUAACACGUGAGUAACCUGCCCCCUUCUUCUGGAUAACCGCAUGAAAGUGUGGCUAAUACGGGAUAUUCUGUGCCUGCUGCAUGGUGGGUGUGGGAAAGAUUGCGCCCUUUUUGGGUGUUUUUGGUGGGGGAUGGGCUCGCGGCCUAUCAGCUUGUUGGUGGGGUGAUGGCCUACCAAGGCGGUGACGGGUAGCCGGCCUGAGAGGGUGGACGGUCACACUGGGACUGAGACGCGGCCCAGACUCCUACGGGAGGCAGCAGUGGGGAAUAUUGCACAAUGGGCGCAAGCCUGAUGCAGCGACGCCGCGUGAGGGAUGGAGGCCUUCGGGUUGUGAACCUCUUUCGCCAGUGAAGCAGGCCUGCUCCUUGGUGGGUGGGUUGACGGUAGCUGGAUAAGAAGCGCCGGCUA
Molecule: ribosomal RNA, 498 nt
Filed under: Actinomyces sp. oral taxon 170
Lineage: Bacteria; Bacillati; Actinomycetota; Actinomycetes; Actinomycetales; Actinomycetaceae
Description: bacterial SSU rRNA
Rfam family: Bacterial small subunit ribosomal RNA
Source: RNAcentral